This 654-nucleotide ribosomal RNA is filed under the name uncultured Porphyromonadaceae bacterium. RNAcentral's name for it is "bacterial SSU rRNA". It matches the Rfam family "Bacterial small subunit ribosomal RNA", at positions 59 to 715 of the family's 1533-position model. The record is from RNAcentral. Lineage: Bacteria; Pseudomonadati; Bacteroidota; Bacteroidia; Bacteroidales; Porphyromonadaceae.
CAGCACGGGAGUAGCAUACAACUGGGUGGCGACCGGCGCACGGGUGAGUAACGCGUAUGCAACCUUUCUAUCAGAGGGGAAUAACCCGGCGAAAGUCGGACUAAUACCGCAUAAAACAGGGACACCGCAUGGUGGUAUUUGUUAAAGAAAUUCGCUGAUAGAUGGGCAUGCGUUCCAUUAGGUAGUUGGUGAGGUAACGGCUCACCAAGCCGACGAUGGAUAGGGGAACUGAGAGGUUGGUCCCCCACACUGGUACUGAGACACGGACCAGACUCCUACGGGAGGCAGCAGUGAGGAAUAUUGGUCAAUGGGCGAGAGCCUGAACCAGCCAAGUCGCGUGAAGGAAGAAGGAUCUAUGGUUCGUAAACUUCUUUUGCAGGGGAAUAAAGUGCAGGACGUGUCCUGUUUUGUAUGUACCCUGAGAAUAAGGAUCGGCUAACUCCGUGCCAGCAGCCGCGGUAAUACGGAGGAUCCGAGCGUUAUCCGGAUUUAUUGGGUUUAAAGGGUGCGUAGGUGGUUUGAUAAGUCAGCGGUGAAAGUUUGCAGCUUAACUGUAAAAAUGCCGUUGAAACUGUCGGACUUGAGUGUAAAUGAGGUAGGCGGAAUGCGUGGUGUAGCGGUGAAAUGCUUAGAUAUCACGAAGAACUCCGAUUG